CCUACGGGAGGCAGCAGUGAGGAAUAUUGGUCAAUGGACGAGAGUCUGAACCAGCCAAGUAGCGUGAAGGAUGACUGCCCUAUGGGUUGUAAACUUCUUUUAUAAAGGAAUAAAACGAGGCACGUGUGCCUUUUUGCAUGUACUUUAUGAAUAAGGAUCGGCUAACUCCGUGCCAGCAGCCGCGGUAAUACGGAGGAUCCGAGCGUUAUCCGGAUUUAUUGGGUUUAAAGGGAGCGUAGGUGGGUUGUUAAGUCAGUUGUGAAAGGUUGCGGCUCAACCGUAAAAUUGCAAUUGAUACUGGCAGUCUUGAGUACAGUUGAGGUAGGCGGAAUGCGUGGUGUAGCGGUGAAAUGCUUAGAUAUCACGAAGAACCCCGAUUGCGAAGGCAGCUUACUAAACUGUGACUGACAUUGAUGCUCGAAAGUGUGGGUAUCAAACAGGAUUAGAUACCCGAGUAGUC
This 460-nucleotide ribosomal RNA is filed under the name uncultured bacterium. Its description in RNAcentral is "partial 16S ribosomal RNA". It matches the Rfam family "Bacterial small subunit ribosomal RNA", at positions 338 to 795 of the family's 1533-position model. The record is from RNAcentral.